GAUGAAGAACGCAGCGAAAUGCGAUAAGUAAUGCGAAUUGCAGAAUUCCAGUGAGUCAUCGAAUCUUUGAACGCACAUUGCGCCCUUUGGUAUUCCGAAGGGCAUGCCUGUUCGAGCGUCAUUAUCACCCCUCAAGCCCUCGGCUUGGUGUUGGACGGUUUGGUGGAGGCCCCCUCGGGGGCUCCUGCCCCUCCCAAAGACAAUGACGGCGGCCUCGUUGGAACCCCGGUACACUGAGUUCUUCACGGGACACGUAUCGGACACAUGGGUUUACGGGACACGGUCUGCCUCCCCUCAGGGAGAAUCUUUCUAAGGUUGACCUCGGAUCAGGUAGGGAUACCCGCUGAACUUAAGCAUAUCAAUAAGCGGAGGA
This 373-nucleotide unclassified non-coding RNA is filed under the name soil metagenome. RNAcentral describes it as "partial contains 5.8S ribosomal RNA, internal transcribed spacer 2, and large subunit ribosomal RNA". The stretch from base 1 to 121 matches the Rfam family "5.8S ribosomal RNA", at positions 35 to 154 of the family's 154-position model. The record is from RNAcentral.